GGUAGCUCAACUGGUUAGAGCGAGGUGCUGAUAAUGCCAAGGUUGCAGGUUUGAUUCCCGUAUGGGACA
Molecule: non-coding RNA, 69 nt
Organism: Podarcis lilfordi (Lilford's wall lizard)
Lineage: Eukaryota; Metazoa; Chordata; Lepidosauria; Squamata; Lacertidae
Source: the annotation of a GenBank genome assembly